AACGAACGCUGGCGGCAUGCCUAACACAUGCAAGUCGAACGAGACCUUCGGGUCUAGUGGCGCACGGGUGCGUAACGCGUGGGAACCUGCCCUUAGGUUCGGAAUAACUCCCCGAAAGGGGUGCUAAUACCGGAUAAUGUCUUCGGACCAAAGAUUUAUCGCCUUUGGAUGGGCCCGCGGUGGAUUAGCUAGUUGGUAGGGUAAAAGCCUACCAAGGCGACGAUCCAUAGCUGGUCUGAGAGGAUGAUCAGCCACACUGGGACUGAGACACGGCCCAGACUCCUACGGGAGGCAGCAGUGGGGAAUAUUGGACAAUGGGCGAAAGCCUGAUCCAGCAAUGCCGCGUGAGUGAUGAAGGCCUUAGGGUUGUAAAGCUCUUUUACCCGGGAUGAUAAUGACAGUACCGGGAGAAUAAGCGCCGGCUAACUCCGUG
This 433-nucleotide ribosomal RNA is filed under the name uncultured bacterium. Its description in RNAcentral is "partial 16S ribosomal RNA". It matches the Rfam family "Bacterial small subunit ribosomal RNA", at positions 29 to 507 of the family's 1533-position model. The record is from RNAcentral.